This 236-nucleotide unclassified non-coding RNA is filed under the name Vishniacozyma sp. Its description in RNAcentral is "partial contains 5.8S ribosomal RNA, internal transcribed spacer 2, and large subunit ribosomal RNA". The record is from RNAcentral. Lineage: Eukaryota; Fungi; Basidiomycota; Tremellomycetes; Tremellales; Bulleribasidiaceae.
CGCACCUUGCGCCCUUUGGUAUUCCGAAGGGCAUGCCUGUUUGAGUGUCAUGAAACCUCAUCCUAACUGGGUUUUCUAAUCCGGUUAGUGAUGGCUUGGGCGUCUGCCAAUCUUGGCUCGCCUUAAAUGUAUUAGUAACGUUUGGAUGUAAUAAGUUUCGUCCUGUCUGUUGCUUACAACACACCAUAUACUUCAAAUCUGACCUCAAAUCAGGUAGGGCUACCCGCUGAACUUAA